AAGAAGAAAGUGAGCUGAGUACCAGUCAUCUCUCUGCCUCCUAACUGCAGAUGCAGUAAGACCAGCUGCCUUCAGCUCCUGCAGCCAUCUUCUACCAUGAUGGGCUUGGGCAUCUUUGAGCUUUCUAGCAACUCCACUUUAAGAUGAGAAAACUGGGUCACUGCAAACAAAACAAACGAACAGAUACCCCACCCCGUCAAAAAAAACCCAAACCUAAACAGCAACAAAUCUGCCGCAGAGCUCAGCUGAGGAGUGAGGCCCCAAAACAUAGACAGAGAACGUGGACAAGCCCUGACCACUAGCGAGCGAUGGACAGAAACUUGUUUCCCUGGAGGAAUGAGUGCUUGCCACUGAUCUCGACCUUCUGCUGUGACAUGGUAUGACAAAGCAGUGUGAGACUGUACCAGAGUCAAAUGGCUGGGGCAAGCCCAAGGCUGCCCAAAGAAGUCUCUAUGUUAAACAUAAGAAACAGGGACAAAUGUACAAACUCUCCAGCCACGCUCCCAGCAGGCAUCUGGAAUUGGACAGGUGGUUCCUGCCCUUCUCCCACUUUCAGCUUCUUUCACAGAUCCUUCCCAAUAUCUGAAGCAUGGAGAGGUAGGUGCCUCUCCUGGGCUCACUCGGAGGGAAAGUGAUGGACGGCGCUGGUUGUCAGUUCUGAAAGGGUCACUGUGCUCCGGG
RNAcentral lists this long non-coding RNA (681 nucleotides) under Mus musculus (house mouse). RNAcentral describes it as "predicted gene 45282". Lineage: Eukaryota; Metazoa; Chordata; Mammalia; Rodentia; Muridae. The record is from RNAcentral.